UUUUACAUGAAUAUCCUUUUAAAUAUCAAAUUUUGCAUGAAUAUCCUCCUAAAAUUAAUAUUUUCAUUAUACCCUUGUAAAACACUUGUUUUGUUAUUCUAUUCAUUUUUUAUCCUUAUUUUUUAAAAGUCCUUAUGAAGUAUUUUUUUCCAGACAGGAGAUCCCGAAAAGGUUGGUUCUGCUUUCUUUUUGUUUUUUUUUUGCAUCCCAAUC
This 213-nucleotide long non-coding RNA is filed under the name Phoenix dactylifera (date palm). Its description in RNAcentral is "long non-coding RNA (PDAC_LNC007695)". Lineage: Eukaryota; Viridiplantae; Streptophyta; Magnoliopsida; Arecales; Arecaceae. The record is from RNAcentral.